This 1189-nucleotide long non-coding RNA is filed under the name Equus asinus (donkey). RNAcentral describes it as "lncRNA (ENSEASG00005027644.1)". Lineage: Eukaryota; Metazoa; Chordata; Mammalia; Perissodactyla; Equidae. The record is from RNAcentral.
CAGCUGGCAUCCAUACUGAAAAGUUAAUAUUUAAAAAAUCUGAUCAUGGAAGUUCGUGUUCCGGAGGCCUGAUUUUUCCCCUGUUGGUCUCACUGGAAGAUGACUUGGGGUCCUAGCCAAUAUACUUAGUUAACAACUAUGGUAGAUUAAGUUCUUCCAGUCUGUGGGGUGACGGCAGCAACAGGCAAGAGACCAGAAUCACAUUCACUUUGAUCUGUGCGCCCAUCACAUUUUCUGUGUUUAAUUCUUCUACCAACUUGGACGAACUUGGGAAAAGCACCUUGAUCCUUGGGAAUGCAUCGGAAAUAUGCCACAGCAUGAUUAUCAGCACAGGACACAGAAGAUUUUGAGUCUAAAGCAACAAGAUGGACUCCAGAAAGCACAGGUGAAAACUGGGGUGAAACUGUGCCCUAUCGUGACUCUCGUGCAGGAUCAGCUUUCCAUCACAUUGCUGAAUCGAUUGCCACAUCCAUUCUGCCGUUCAUUCAUCUGGGGUGCGCUGGGAAGAGAGGAGAGAUGCUAAAUGGGAUCAGAAGUAUGGUUCAGAGCAUGAACGCUACCAGGGACUUUGCACGUUACCCUCUGAUAAUGAGGUAUCUUUCACAAAACAUGUAUUAUUCGAGAAGUCUAGGGCAUGGGCCCUCAGAAAUGGGACGCCGGUGGAAUUGAAGACGGCACAGCAAACCUCAAUUUGGACCAGCCACGUUUCAAGCACUCAAUAGCCGCAUGUGCCUAGCGGAUACCACGUUGGACGGCACAGCUCUAGGUAUCGAGAUCUUACUCACUUCGUCUUCCCUCCCUGAAGUGGAUCUACUUAUAUAACCGGGAAGAGGAUAUUGCUGACUCGUUGAAAGCCAAUACUUUGGUGCUCAGGGCAUUUUUAUCCGUGGCCAAGAACGUAGAUUACGGACUCUCACAAACGUGAGGAAAUCGUCAUGGGAUCAUGCCAGGAAAGGAGGCUUGGGAAAGGACAUCUCUGACUUCUUGAAAAAUUGAGUGUGUCUACAUUUGUCCUGGCUCUCAUUUAGUUUCAAAUACAAGGAGAUUUAGAUUCAAAAUAGCUUCUUAAUUUGCUUUCUUUCUUCACGUGGUCAAUACACGUGAAAGUAGACUCAUGAGGAGAAAAUCAUUCUCAGUUAUCUCAAUUUCUACGGGAUGUUGUGAAGAUAAUAAACAUUUUUGAUAAGGC